Non-coding RNA from Pelodiscus sinensis (Chinese soft-shelled turtle), 206 nucleotides. The record is from RefSeq and is a predicted model, not a curated record. NCBI's taxonomy places the organism in Eukaryota, Metazoa, Chordata, Testudines, Trionychidae.
GCAGCUUCCUUGCUUCCUCCCCCCCCAACCAAAAUAUCAUGGAAGUGGAAUGACUUUCCUGCAGUACGGAAAGUACCGCUCUAGAAAAUCUUUUUGGGUGAGUUUGAACACAAAUAUUGUAUAUGUUGAGCUAUAAACUCAUGGGCUACAUCUAGACUGGCAUGAUUUUCCGCAAAUGCUUUUAACGGAAAAGUUUUCCGUUAAAA